GAUUGAACGCUGGCGGCAGGCCUAACACAUGCAAGUCGAGCGGAUGARGGGAGCUUGCUCCCUGAUUUAGCGGCGGACGGGUGAGUAAUGCCUAGGAAUCUGCCUGGUAGUGGGGGAUAACGUUCCGAAAGGAACGCUAAUACCGCAUACGUCCUACGGGAGAAAGCAGGGGACCUUCGGGCCUUGCGCUAUCAGAUGAGCCUAGGUCGGAUUAGCUAGUUGGUGAGGUAAUGGCUCACCAAGGCGACGAUCCGUAACUGGUCUGAGAGGAUGAUCAGUCACACUGGAACUGAGACACGGUCCAGACUCCUACGGGAGGCAGCAGUGGGGAAUAUUGGACAAUGGGCGAAAGCCUGAUCCAGCCAUGCCGCGUGUGUGAAGAAGGUCUUCGGAUUGUAAAGCACUUUAAGUUGGGAGGAAGGGCUGCUGGUUAAUACCCUGCAGUUUUGACGUUACCAACAGAAUAAGCACCGGCUAACUUC
Molecule: ribosomal RNA, 482 nt
Filed under: Pseudomonas sp. 'ARUP UnID 550'
Lineage: Bacteria; Pseudomonadati; Pseudomonadota; Gammaproteobacteria; Pseudomonadales; Pseudomonadaceae
Description: bacterial SSU rRNA
Rfam family: Bacterial small subunit ribosomal RNA
Source: RNAcentral